UAUAUAUAUAUGUAUGUAUAUAUGUGUGUGUGUGUGUAUAUAUAUGAAUAUAUGUGUGUGUGCAUGUAUUGGCGUACAUUUGUCCAAUAUUUUUUAUGUCAACCCAUUAUAUUAUUUCAGUUAUAGUUGUCACCCAUCCCCAUGCCCACCUCCACCGAUAAUGUUAUGUAUUUCACUCAACUCAACUUCCAUCUCCAACCAACAUUGCUCUAGAUCAGUAGAAAAAAAAGAUGUUUUUCCAUAUACAUUUGAACAAUAACAAAAUAAUAAUAAUAAAAGCAACAAUUAUGAGAAUAAAAUGUAUGUUACUUGUACCAUU
Long non-coding RNA from Octopus sinensis (East Asian common octopus), 319 nucleotides. RefSeq lists it as uncharacterized. The record is from RefSeq and is a predicted model, not a curated record. The transcript is spliced from 2 exons. Lineage: Eukaryota; Metazoa; Mollusca; Cephalopoda; Octopoda; Octopodidae.